Molecule: non-coding RNA, 30 nt
Filed under: Mus musculus (house mouse)
Lineage: Eukaryota; Metazoa; Chordata; Mammalia; Rodentia; Muridae
Source: RNAcentral
UGGGCACUUGACUGCACAAUGUGGAGACAC